RNAcentral lists this ribosomal RNA (468 nucleotides) under uncultured bacterium. Its description in RNAcentral is "partial 16S ribosomal RNA". It matches the Rfam family "Bacterial small subunit ribosomal RNA", at positions 28 to 507 of the family's 1533-position model. The record is from RNAcentral.
GACGAACGCUGGCGGCGUGCUUAACACAUGCGAGUCGAACGGAAAGGCCUUGCUUUUGUUGGGUGCUCGAGUGGCGAACGGGUGAGUAACACGUGAGUAACCUGCCCUUGACUUUGGGAUAACUUCAGGAAACUGGGGCUAAUACCGGAUAGGAGCUCCUGCUGCAUGGUGGGGGUUGGAAAGUUUCGGCGGUUGGGGAUGGACUCGCGGCUUAUCAGCUUGCUGGUGGGGUAGUGGCUUACCAAGGCUUUGACGGGUAGCCGGCCUGAGAGGGUGGCCGGCCACAUUGGGACUGAGAUACGGGCCAGGCUGCUGCGGGGGACAGCAGUGGGGAAUAUUGCACAAUGGGCGGAAGCCUGAUGCAGCAACGCCGCGUGCGGGAUGACGGCCUUCGGGUUGUAAGCCGCUUUCGCCUGUGACGAAGAGUGAGUGGCGGUAAUGGGUAAAGGAGCACCGGCUAACUACGUG